Bacillus rossius redtenbacheri is the source of this 2268-nucleotide long non-coding RNA. RefSeq lists it as uncharacterized. Lineage: Eukaryota; Metazoa; Arthropoda; Insecta; Phasmatodea; Bacillidae. The transcript has 2 exons. The record is from RefSeq and is a predicted model, not a curated record.
AAACACACAAAAAUUUGCCAAUUUUUUUUUUAUAUUUGUUGAGUACUUCUGUUCUAGACAUGCUUAUUAUUAUUCCUAAUAUUUUUAAUGUAAACAUGCAUCAGGUGUCAAUCAAAAUAGGAUUAUUUUGGUGAAAUACGUAUUAAGAAAUAUUUUUGUUCCAUACUUGUGGAAUAACACCCUAUUUUUUUUUAAUGAAUACAGACAAUAUGCGAAAAUAAAACCUAUAACACCGGGAUCUACUGUUUUGAAAACGAAACUUUCCUAAAAAUUAAAACCACCAAAUUGAAAUUUCGGUAAUUUAAUGGACAUUUCAACGAAGAAUCCAUAGCAAAUAAACGAAUGGUUCUUAGCAGUUCCAGAUGAGCGGAUUGUCGUAGAAACUCCAUCGCACCUCGACUUCUGGGUUCCGUUGUGAUCAGGUCUGUGGAAUUUAAGAUUUUUUUUUAAUACGAAUUAGAUUCUAGGUAGUGAGUUUAUGCUCAAAGCAAGUAACAUUUAUACCUGUGAAUUUACUAAGAUUUAUGGAAAAUUUGUAACUGGUACUCCUAGAAAAAUUAUAACAGCGUAAAAUUUUUCUAAAGAGUACCAGUUACGAAUAGCGUACGUAGCUGGCCUCGGUGGAUUUAGUCAUAGAGUUCCGCCGAUAAAAAUUGUUCCGAGCGCUGAAUGUCACGGUAAUGUGCAAGCUUACCUAGGAACUGUGCUUUAAUCCUUCACAAGCUGGCAGCUGAGAUAAAAAGGACAAUGAAAUUGAAUGGCUUGGCAUGUCGCGGAAUGUCUGAGGCAGCUCCGCAGCAGGGGGAGCAGGGCUACUCACUGGCAUUGAGGCACUCCACCUCGAGGUACUGCACGCGCACGGGCGUGGCGCGGUAGGCGUCCGGCUGGGAGCGCCGGUCCUCGAAGCUGAGCGAGCAGCGGCCGCGCGAGGAGUACGUGGGCGGCGUGUAGACGGCCGAGCGGCACGGGAACAGCGUCGCGGUGAGGCAGCGGUCCACGCACUGCUCCACGGAGUCCACCGCGAGGGCCGGUCCCGCCGCCUGUCCCACCAGCUCGUAGCCGGGCGCCCGCGUCGCCGCCCACAGCCGGCCCGAGCAGUUGCGCGGCACUGCGCACACCACACCGCGCUCUAGCCCCACGUCUCUGCGGGGAGCACGGCGGACACCGGGUCUCCCAUUUCUCACUUUCGUUCGUCCCGUCGAAACUCCAUUCUCAUAUGAUAACCCCGAUCUAGACUAAAUGUUACACCCUAAUUACAGUCAACGGCAACGGAAACCAAUUCCUGUAGCUGCGAUUACUUAAACACUCUCUUAUAUCAACCUCUAAAGAGACCAAAAUAAUUCUACAUUUUUAUAAGUGAAAACAUCUUUACAGUUUGAAAACAUGGCAGCUUGUUAAACAGUAAAUAUUAUGGACAAGAUACAAAAAAGUUGGUAAUGGUUAAAACUGUUUAUUAGAGCCACUCACAUGCCACGAAGGAUAAAUUUUUGUCAUCUUGGAAAAUUCAAAAUUAGAUUUUUAUCACACAGAAAAUCUUGAUGACCCUCAUGAGCCAGUGUGUUUCCUUGAGGCAGUAGCAUUUCCCCCACCACUGCAGCCUAACUUUUCAGCACCCCUCUCGUCCCGUAUAUCUCUCGAGCCACAGGAGAGUACGAUGCAAGCCAGCCCUAUCAGCAGCUCCGAAACUCUGAGCCCACCUGCCUGCAGCCACAGCCGAGGCUGGAAGGGACUGUGGAUGGUCGUGCGAGCAACUGCAAACGUGAUGUCAUCGAAGAGUGUCGACGUCGAGAAAUGGCCUGAGCUAUACGCAUCCUUGCCGUGCGACGAACUGGAACUACAAAUACGUGGCUGAAAGUUCAAAUAUCCACGGGCCACAGCUGCCCGACAGAAAAGGUAUCUUCAGUCUCCUGCGCAACCUCAGAAGCACGGAGCAGGGCUGUACCUCCUGAAGCACUCGGCGGUGACGGCCGCUCCUGGUUGGCUGUAGAGGAGUAUGAGCGUGUCGUCACUCGGCGCGUAGCCGGACACCUUGAUGAACGCGUCCGUGCAGUUCUGGCCUGCGCAACCACAUGGGAAAUACACGCUCCUGGCUGGACUUAACAGUGGUGCCAACUGCACUCCUGCGAGGGCCAGAUUUUAUUUUUGGGACUAAUCCAAAGACCAGUCACAUUCAAAUAAAUAUUAUGUAUCUUACAACAAUUUAUGUUGUAUUAUUCUGCAGGAAAACAAAUAAAUACAAUAUGUUGCACGUGAUGAAUAAACGAAAAA